CUUCAACGACCCCAACCACAACGGCCGCCCCACCGACCGACCCUGACCAUACGUCGCCAGCAACGCCUGCGCCUC
This 75-nucleotide antisense RNA is filed under the name Streptomyces sp. 846.5. Its description in RNAcentral is "ASpks TB sRNA". It matches the Rfam family "ASpks TB sRNA". The record is from Rfam by way of RNAcentral. Lineage: Bacteria; Bacillati; Actinomycetota; Actinomycetes; Kitasatosporales; Streptomycetaceae.